CGCGUAGGUGGCCUUCUAAGUUGAACGUGAAAUCCCUGGGCUCAACCCAGGAACUGCGUCCAAGACUGGGAGGCUUGAAUCCGGGAGAGGGAUGCGGAAUUCCAGGUGUAGCGGUGAAAUGCGUAGAUAUCUGGAGGAACACCGGUGGCGAAGGCGGCAUCCUGGACCGGUAUUGACACUGAGGCGCGAAAGCCAGGGGAGCAAACG
This 207-nucleotide ribosomal RNA is filed under the name uncultured bacterium. RNAcentral's name for it is "partial 16S ribosomal RNA". It matches the Rfam family "Bacterial small subunit ribosomal RNA", at positions 568 to 774 of the family's 1533-position model. The record is from RNAcentral.